This 442-nucleotide ribosomal RNA is filed under the name uncultured bacterium. RNAcentral's name for it is "partial 16S ribosomal RNA". It matches the Rfam family "Bacterial small subunit ribosomal RNA", at positions 338 to 795 of the family's 1533-position model. The record is from RNAcentral.
CCUACGGGGGGCAUCAGUUUUUAAUAUUUUUCAAUUUUCUCAAUCCUGACCCCGCCCCGCCGCGUGAAGGAAGAAGGCUUUCGGGUUGUAAACUUCUUUUAAGAGGGAAGAGCAGAAGACGGUACCUCUUGAAUAAGCCACGGCUAACUACGUGCCAGCAGCCGCGGUAAUACGUAGGUGGCAAGCGUUGUCCGGAUUUACUGGGUGUAAAGGGCGUGCAGCCGGGAAGACAAGUCAGAUGUGAAAUCCCGCGGCUCAACCGCGGAACUGCAUUUGAAACUGUUUUUCUGGAGUACCGGAGAGGUCAUCGGAAUUCCUUGUGUAGCGGUGAAAUGCGUAGAUAUAAGGAAGAACACCAGUGGCGAAGGCGGAUGACUGGACGGCAACUGACGGUGAGGCGCGAAAGCGUGGGGAGCAAACAGGAUUAGAUACCCGUGUAGUC